Molecule: transfer RNA, 71 nt
Filed under: Pterois miles (devil firefish)
Lineage: Eukaryota; Metazoa; Chordata; Actinopteri; Perciformes; Scorpaenidae
Description: tRNA-Ser
Rfam family: tRNA
About the family: Transfer RNA (tRNA) molecules are approximately 80 nucleotides in length.
Source: RNAcentral
AAGAAAGUGGCAGAGCGGUGAUGUAGUCGGCUUGAAACCGGCCAAUGGGGGUUCAACUCCUCCCUUUCUCG